CAGGACGAACGCUGGCGGCGUGCUUAACACAUGCAAGUCGAACGGAGAUACAUUGGAGGAGAGCUCGGCAGGAAUCCGGCGUAUCUUAGUGGCGGACGGGUGAGUAACGCGUGAGCAACCUGUCCCAGACAGGGGGAUAACACUUGGAAACAGGUGCUAAUACCGCAUAAGACCACGGUGUCACAUGGCGCUGAGGUAAAAGGAGAAAUCCGGUUUGGGGUGGGCUCGCGUCCGAUUAGAUAGUUGGUGAGGUAACGGCCCACCAAGUCGACGAUCGGUAGCCGACCUGAGAGGGUGAUCGGCCACAUUGGAACUGAGAGACGGUCCAAACUCCUACGGGAGGCAGCAGUGGGGAAUAUUGGGCAAUGGGCGAAAGCCCUGACCCAGCAACGCCGCGUGAGUGAAGAAGGCUUUCGGGUUGUAAAGCUCUGUUAUAGGGGACGAAGGAAGUGACGGUACCCUAUAAGGAAGCCCCGGCUAACUACGUGCCAGCAGCCGC
RNAcentral lists this ribosomal RNA (499 nucleotides) under uncultured bacterium. RNAcentral describes it as "bacterial SSU rRNA". It matches the Rfam family "Bacterial small subunit ribosomal RNA", at positions 25 to 518 of the family's 1533-position model. The record is from RNAcentral.